UCCUACGGGAGGCAGCAGUGGGGAAUUUUGGACAAUGGGCGAAAGCCUGAUCCAGCAAUGCCGCGUGUGUGAAGAAGGCCUUCGGGUUGUAAAGCACUUUUGUCCGGAAAGAAAUCCUUGACUCUAAUACAGUCGGGGGAUGACGGUACCGGAAGAAUAAGCACCGGCUAACUACGUGCCAGCAGCCGCGGUAAUACGUAGGG
This 203-nucleotide ribosomal RNA is filed under the name uncultured bacterium. RNAcentral describes it as "partial 16S ribosomal RNA". It matches the Rfam family "Bacterial small subunit ribosomal RNA", at positions 337 to 532 of the family's 1533-position model. The record is from RNAcentral.